ACAUAACGCAGCAUAACACUGGUUAGUUUCUCUCUUACUCUCGAAGCGGACAGACGUGCGUCGUUUGCGCUCUGCGCGUCGAGUGUUUUGUUUUUUUUACAUUCUAACAGUGCUGCAUUCGUACCAAUGUUUGUAUAACACAGCCGGGAAAAAGUAAUGUCCCCCGGUGAAGGUAGUACACUCUAUCCACGUUAGUUAGUCAGUGACCACAGAGAUUAAGCGCAAGCGGAGAAUCACCGGAAGUCGUCGGAAAGAACAGACUUCGAAUGGAAAUAACCGCGUGGUGCAUUAAAGUACAGUCGGAUGCAACGAAACCCUCGAUCCGGCGCAGUAUCGUGACGAAUGCAAUUGCACCAAUGAAAACAUAGUGUGUGCGUGUUCCAGCGAAUCGUAGAAUAGUGUGUGAAAAGUUAAACAAAAAGGUUCAGUUCUUUAGAGGCACCUAACCGUGUCUCUCUCUCGUAGUCCAUAGUAUAUCCUCACGGGAGGAACAAGCGUAUUCUAUUUGUGAUAACAGUAUCGUUAAUUAACCACCACAAAAAAAAAUCGACGAGAAAAAGAAAAUUCUGUACUCUGGCAGUCACCGUAGAGUGCUCUGCGCUGAAGAUAUUCCAAGGAGAGGACAUCCAAGUAGCAGCAGCUUCUAGUUGUAAAAUGGUAAGCCGUCCAGAGAGUGGUUUGGAGAAAUUUAUUGUCACAUCGUCUUGAGUGGCUACUACUUGAGAGGGCUGAAGGACGAUGGGCAACACCAACCUGACGUACACAUCGGUUUGAGUAGAGGCACACGGUAGGCAAGGCUGUUGCAGUUUAAUGUAAAGUGCAGUAGAGGCACAUCAUUUAUUCCGAUAGCGCCGAGGGGUCUCGGAGGCACAUGAGGGGUCUCUCUGCGUCCUUAAUUAAUGAGGUGUGCAGCACAAGAGUGUAUUGAAGGCAUAAUUGCGUUUGUGUGUGAUGAGCACGAUAUCAAAAGGAAGCACCUUGACGCUUGAGGGUUGGGUGGGCCACGACGAGAUGUCAAGAGAGCACGAAUAUAAUUGCCAAUCAACACCUUAUCAUUUGGUAAUGAGGAUGAUGUAACGUCACAUGCUUGGGAGUGGAGAGCGUGAAGCUGAUGAACGUCACAACACUUGGUGGACAUGCAUUAAGAGAAUUUUUAAUUAAUUUAAGAAAUUGUUAUUAUUGUUGGAGUUGGGCUAGAUUGCUCCAACUCCAAUAGCUUGUUGGCAAGGAAAGGUUCAGAACAGAACAAAGCAACUCAUCCGGUGGUGUGGGGCUGAUCCCUGACCUUCCGGUUUGAACUUUAUCGUGUCCUGGUUGUAAAAAUGUCAUUUGAAUGAGGCUUCGAUUGUACACUUUGCGAAAGUGCUCACACACACACUCUGUGCCACGUGAACGACAACGUAGGCUUAAACAGGAUGUUUCCUACCAUCACACUUGACACCCGGCGGCUGUACCCGGGGGUAGUGUGUCACAUCGGUACAACCUGGCUAUUUUUGGUAUCUACACAUUCCCCACCCGUGAAGAGCGUCCUUGCCGGCACGGUGUCCUUGUCAGGCGGGCUUUGGAGAGCUUCCGUUUGCCGACGGAGAAGAGCGCAAGGAUGACGUCUGUCCGGUACGGGUAACGGAACGCGCGAAAGCGACGACAGUGGCACCAUGAAAGGUGAUACCAAUUACGCGUCACUCUGCUGGAUCGGAAUGAUUGAACGGUGGAUCCGAGUACGGGCGUGUGCAACUGGUUGAACCCCGUGGCACAGGAUACGGAGUCACCCGUGGGAACAGGAGUAGCUUGGAGCUAUUUUUAAAACUUAAUUAAUAUACUAAAACCCACCCGGAUGAGUGUGCUGUAGGCACGUCAGUAGGAUGACAGUGCUGUCUGUGGCGUAUGUGCUCGACCGGGCUGAGCGUCCUCGCACAAGGCUUUAUCAUGUCUGUGGUACAUCUGUGAGUGAUAGUUUCAGUAUUUCACUCGCUCCACUCCACAUCGAUAAACCAAUCGAAACGUCCAUUUGAAUAGACCAUCAACCAUACCUACGCUCUCGGCGCCAGCAUUUCAAUCAAAAGCCCUUUCAAAAGCAAAGCAAAUGUUGACACUGUAAGUCAUCGCCGCCCUGUGAGAGGUCCGUUUGCGUGACAAUGGGUGACGUGCCGUGGGCAGAAAAUAAGCCUUGCCGGCACUUGCGUUUUGAAGUGGUAAUUAAGAAUUUAUCGCUCACCUUUGGCCGCACUCCCCGUCCCCGCCGUCAACUCAAUCCGAUAGUUCGGAAGUUUGCUUCCUUUUUGGCCACUUACACGUGGCGGCCAUACAAGCCCGCGGAGCGGAGCUUCCUGUUUGCGUUUUUAUUUACUGUUUUACGAUUGCCGAUUACCACUCCAAAUCCGAUCCGGGGUUGUAAUCCGAACCGAAUGCGGCUGACUGAACUGGGUGGCAUUUAAUGUUAGAGUCGAAUCGAAGAAGUGUUCUUUGAGGGAAAAAAGAAGUAUUCUUUUUUUGCUAUAAAUAACUCACCUCCAAAUAUACUUUCUCGUUUUAGUGGAGGUCUUCGGGCGCACACUCACGACGUUAGGCAGGAAACAAAUAAAUACCAGGACGAAGCCGAUUGACUAUUGAAGCCAUCGAUCGGUGUGCAUAGGAUUCGCUUGAUUGGCUUGCCUUCCGCGGUUAAACGGUGUGCGCCUCCAUAAAACCUCUCGGCUUGCAAUACGUUCGCUUCGGGCUGUAUAAGUUAUACUUUUUGACAGAUUGAAGUAGUAACUGUCGGAGAAGCAAUAGGCAUCGCUUUUAGUGCGGUCUCGUUUGUGGACUUCUUCGAACCCAUCACUGGCACUCCUGUCCCCAAAAGCCGCCGUUGGUGACCUCCGCGCGCAAAUUUGCUGACCCAUGGCGAUCCUUCACGGUCCAUUUACCGCAGGUGGGGACCUGUGCUUUUUUGUUUAUGGCUUAUUUGCCAAGCAUUUACCCUUUUCUUGGUGGAUCAAAAUUUAUGAAGGGAAGAAGCGACCCCAUAAUUCGUUCGGAGCUACUGAUUUUUUGGAAGUUGUAAUAAUUAUAUUUCACACUCUUCCUUCGCCGAUUCUUUCAUGCAGAGUAAAAUGGGCACGUGUUUUCGGGUGAGGGUCAGACCGAUCGUUUCGUCUUGCUGAUUUUGUUGCCUUUCCACAAACCGAGAGGGGAGGGGUACCUCAUUCCGCAAUCUCAGAUUUUUGGAUUUUUUGUUUGGUUGCCUCUCGCUGUUUAGUGUCGGCUUGAGCUUUGAAUCUUACUUUUUACUUUUUUUUUCGCGCUGGUGAUUGCUUGACGCUUGGGAUGUAAAGGCGAAAUAUACACGCCCACGAACCAGCCUCGUGCCAAACCACCCGCGGUGCAGAGGCACGUUUCCACCCACAAAACCCAAGUCCGGAUUUCGUGAAAGGGAAAGAAGCAAUGUCGGAAUUUCGGAGGUCGCCGAAAGCGAGAGUUUGGUCCCGGCAGGUUUGUGCAAUAGCCGGGGGAUGGUUCGCGCUGUGAGGAACAAGCGCGAUAAAUCAUAAUACAAACUGUUUAAAGAAAAUUAAUCACAAAAUGUGCGAAACGAAACGAUCAAACAGAUCGAAGGAAGAGAAGCCGAUUCGCUUGGUGUGCCCCCGUCAGUGCGUUUUUAGGGUGCGUUUUUGGUGAAGUGCCGCUGUCCCGGUGCAAGGUUUCUGCCUUUUUUUUUUCGCGCACCGCUAGUUUACUAGUGCCAGGGUCAACGGGGGUGCUGAGUAGCAGUUCGGAUCGGUGGUGGUGGUGGACUAGACUCACUUUGCUCUCACUUGCCUGUCGUAUGCCGCCAACCGUGAUCUGGUGUGAGAUCAUCUUAUUUCACACGUUUUCGGACACGCCGCGGUUUGGGGUUUUAAUUUGGUGGAUCGAGAAGAAGGUGCGUGCGUGUUUGUGGUUUUUGGAGCACCCGAACGGACAAGAGUGAUGAGUUUUAAGUGUUGUUGAUCGAGAUGAUUAGCGCGAUGAGUUAUGGGUGCUGUCAUAUUAGGCUGCGGGAAUCAACAUGAUGACGCGCGUCGAUCGGUCGUUUAAUAAACUGCACUUAAACAUGUGUAAGAUGUGGGGGUGGUAGAUUUGUGAGGCGUUAUGGUAAAUGUGUGGUAAAAUCAUUCGCUGAUUGAAGAUAAUUUGUUUUAUGUGAGUAAUAACACGGUGAGCGCCUGAAGUUAUGCAAGCGCGCGUAUGUUCGGUAUUGCAUAAUCGCAAGAUCACACCAAUGAGUGAGCUCUGAUCUGAUUUCUGAGGCUGUCUUAAUUCCUACCCAAGUGCACCUUUUCGGGGAAGUUGCAAUUAUCGGCUCAAACCGAGCCAGAUGCAGCAAAGAAGGUCCGAUGGAUGAGUGAAAAUCGCCAUUACUUAACGCGCGAUGUAAUCGAUUCAUCUCGUUUAACCUAUCGAUUCGUUCGUGUGCUUGUGUGUGUUUAUGCAUGAUGGUGCUAUCACAAUCGAAUCGAUGUUCCCCCCAAUCCAUCUGCACCAACAACAGUUGGUGGUCGGGUUGGGCGAGCCGCUGCUGCUGCUAGUAGUAAUCCGGCACGGUGUGCCAUGUGUUGUUUUAUCGAGCACUGGAUGGUGAAGACAGAAAUCGCUGACGCAUCUAAUCAAAAAUCGAAAGAGGUGCAAAAUAGUGGUCCGUAAUCAUCUCAGCGGGAGCAAGUUGUGCGAAAAUAAGCGAAACAAUUUAAGGCCUGUAUGACGAGAACGUGAGGCAAAGAAUGAGUGUGUUCGGUUACUCUUGUUACCCGCUCGCUACCGGUUGGGGUACAUUAAAAUGAAAAAUCUAGAAACCAACAACCACCACUGGUGUACUGGUGUUGUUUUUGGAGAUGUGAAGCACAUUGUUUCUAUCUCGAUUUCCGGUUUUUGAGCACUUAAAAAAAGAGUACUCACUACUUUGCGGCUGGUAACAGCUGGAACAUUAUUUUCUACCACCUUCUGCUCGUGUUCUGGGUGUGCACCACCAGCGCCAACCACCCAUCCACCCACGAGAAGAAGUAAAUUAAUUUUCGGUCAAAUACCUUUCGGUAGAUUACG
This is a long non-coding RNA of Anopheles stephensi (Asian malaria mosquito), 5058 nucleotides long. RefSeq lists it as uncharacterized. Lineage: Eukaryota; Metazoa; Arthropoda; Insecta; Diptera; Culicidae. The record is from RefSeq and is a predicted model, not a curated record. The transcript is spliced from 3 exons.